RNAcentral lists this small RNA (30 nucleotides) under Bombyx mori (domestic silkworm). Its description in RNAcentral is "ovarian small RNA-14111". The record is from RNAcentral. Lineage: Eukaryota; Metazoa; Arthropoda; Insecta; Lepidoptera; Bombycidae.
CGAACAUCCUCCCGCCGUGCAGCGUCGUUC